Long non-coding RNA from Octopus bimaculoides (California two-spot octopus), 1123 nucleotides. RefSeq lists it as uncharacterized. NCBI's taxonomy places the organism in Eukaryota, Metazoa, Mollusca, Cephalopoda, Octopoda, Octopodidae. The record is from RefSeq and is a predicted model, not a curated record.
UUAGUUCCUCAAUAUUGUUUGUACCGUCUAUGUUGGCCCCUGGUGGACAAUAAAGAAAUCGGUAUUUCGUCUGCCGUUACGUUCUGAGUUCAAAUUCCGCCGAGGUCGACUUUGCCUUUCAUCUUUUCGGAGUCGAUAAAUUAAGUACUGAGGUCGAUGUAAUCGACUUAAUCCCUUUGUCUGUCCUUGUUUGUCCUCUCUAUGUUUAGUCCCUUGUGGGCAAUAAAUAAAUAAGUGCACCUCCGAUUCUGAACGUAGUUUUUUUCUGAUGCGCUCCGAAUAUUUUAGCAUGCAUAACAACAUACCCGAGAAAAUUAUUUUAGCGGUAAUAAAGAUCAUUAAACGAAUUACUUUGAUAGGACAUUAUUGGAUAAGAUAAGAUUAUGACAAACUGUUUCUUAGAUCUUUCCAAUUAUUUAUUACAGGAUUUUGACGUCAUAAAACCUGCCCAUAUUUUACUUCAAAGCUUGUCUUAACAUUUUUUUUUACAACUAUCAAGUAUUACUUAUUACUGUUAAUCGAGCAGAUGUUUUUUUUUUAUCUAACCCAAAUUUCUUUUUAAUCUUGAAUCCAGUUACAUGAUUUAAAAUUUACGUAUUUCGUAUUCUUGACAUUAAGAAUAUUUCCAAAAGAAGUGUGAGGUUGUAACUUUUGCAUCCCAAACUGAAAUCAAUAGUAGGAAAAACCUCUCAAAAUGGAAGAUUAUUCUCUUAGGUGUUGUCGUCCUCCAGGUUUGCUGUCAAUGCAUCAACGAGAAUUUUGUACAAGGUGUUACAGAGUCAGAAGCAGUGAUGAGCAUUUGACAUUCUCACUUUAUGUCUGUGGCUAUUGUGGUGAAAUAUAUCGUCCAGAAGAGAUUAGAAUGGCAUUAAUAUGUACCUCAUGUUUACCUGAGUGUCGUCUUUACCCUAUUCCUCUGCAUCAUUUGAGCAAAACUCAUUGUCAAAAUGGAGUUUGUUGUGAUCACUGUGGGAAUCCUGUAGGUCAUGAUGAACAGCUUGACAUUAUCUUUUAAAUUAUAUUUUUGUAAUGGUAAGGAUGAUAUUCUAUGGAAUAUUGUAAUUAUAUUUUAUUUAUCUGGACAAUAGAAAUAUUGGAAUAAAUAAACCUUUCUCAUAUAUUA